Long non-coding RNA from Humulus lupulus (European hop), 274 nucleotides. RefSeq lists it as uncharacterized. NCBI's taxonomy places the organism in Eukaryota, Viridiplantae, Streptophyta, Magnoliopsida, Rosales, Cannabaceae. The transcript is spliced from 3 exons. The record is from RefSeq and is a predicted model, not a curated record.
UGACCUUGUCGUUGAGGUCCGCGACGCUCGAAUUCCCCUGUCGUCUGCCAACCAGGACCUUCAAUCUCACCUCUCCGCCAAACGACGCAUUAUUGCUCUCAAUAAGCAGGACCUUGCCAAUCCCAAUAUCAUGCCGUAAGACUUCUGUUAGGAAGCUUCUUGAGCUGGUGGAGUUUAAAUUGAAGGAAGCGAUAUUGAAAGAGCCAACUCUGCUUGUUAUGGUUGUUGGGGUUCCUAAUGUUGGAAAAUCUGCUUUGAUCAAGGAGAAAACCGC